Rosa chinensis is the source of this 2246-nucleotide long non-coding RNA. RefSeq lists it as uncharacterized. The record is from RefSeq and is a predicted model, not a curated record. Lineage: Eukaryota; Viridiplantae; Streptophyta; Magnoliopsida; Rosales; Rosaceae. The transcript has 3 exons.
UGUUCCACAUUUCGCUAAGGUACAUCCAUAAACAGAAUAACAAUAUUGUAGGAGUGAAGUGGGGCAGUAGAGAAGGUACCUAGAUUCACUUGAUGAUGGAUGAUAGCCUAAAAGAGCAUCGUUGAGUUUCCGGAUUUCGAGAGAAAUUAAGCCUAGAAACAGCACCAAGACUAGUGCCGCGCUGGAGAGGGAAGACACUGACAUCCUCUCUCGAGUGUCAAUGGCAAAGAACGACGCGUUCUUGGGAUCAGUGGGCGAGUUCUUGAAGCGGUGCCAGCAAUCCGGCGAGUCUUUGACGAUCGAGUCUCCAGAUAUCGGAGCCAAACGCGCACAUGAGGCUCUACGAUGAUCUCCUUACCAACGGGCUAUGUAUCAUUCACUUUCGAUGCGGUAUAAGAGAGUUGUGGAUCUUCAUAACAUGCUUGGAGGAGAGAAUCAUCAUCAUCUUCGUCAGCAUCACCUUCGUUCUUCAAUUUCUGAAGAAAUGGAGCUGAAACCAGGUCUCUCAGCUCUCGUCACCAGCGGAGCUUUUGGAAUUAGUAAGCCUUCUAUUUCCAUAUAUGUGUCAAGGUGUGGAUCUCUUGAUAAUUUAUUCUUUCAUUUAUAUAUGUUUCAGUGAUUGAAUGAAUAUGAAUUAUUUAGGACUGUAAUGGAAGUGUAUGUAUAGCUGCCUUGAAUGUUAAAGUUAUUCUGCUUGUAUAUAUUGGUGAGGAUUUUGUGACCUUCGGACCGUUGUUUUGGUUUUGUCCUGAGGAAUUAAGUUCUAGCAAAAUAGCUUGAAAUGCUUAGUUUUGUGGUAUGGGAAUAGAAAUGAUGGUUUUGUUGUCCGUGAAGUUUGUAACUAGAUAUCAAUAUGGAUUCUGGAACGAGGGGUUCUGUACUUGUUGCGUUAUUUCUCUAGUUGUAUAAAGAUUCUUUACUGUCAAAGUAGUGUCCCGUUGAACUGAUUAAUUGUUUAGUUUUCUGGUUGAUAUUGUUUUCUUGCACUGGCUAGAAUUGGUUGGAAUAGAAAUAUAAUGAAUUGAUUCCCAGUGGUACCGAGUCUUGUUGAUGUCAUGAUUCCUUGCUUGGUUAUGUUGGAGUACAUUGUCUGUGACUGUCUAAACUUAGCAGUAUCAAUGUCUAGGAUUUAUGUCAAAAUCAAAUAGUUGAAGCAUUGGAAUUGUGUUAUGUAUUAACUUUGGGCUAUGCCAAUAGCUAGAGUUGAAUUGAGAAAUAUAUCUGCAAGGAUUCUCUACUUUGAUAUAAGUAAACAAUCAUUGACCUUUUGAAACUUCUUCGGUGCUUGGACCUGCUUCAUCUCUUGCUUGAAAGCGUGCAGUUACAAAGAGCUUUUUCAUAUGGCCAUUGACUCUGUAGGUCUUAUCGUUUUGCCUGUCAUAUUACUGAAAAUCUAUAAUCAGACUCAUAUUUAGUUCUUGUAUCAACUUUUGUAUAACCUUUAGGUAGAGAAAGCCUGGUUGAAUGGAUAGAGGAUCCAUCAUAUGGUAAUGCAAUGUAACAUUGUCUUGGAAUAUAAUUUAUGGUGAGAUUUGACACCCUAGAUGUUCUUUACAUUCUCUCUUUUAAUACUAAUUAGACUUUAAGAAAGUAACUUUAUUUUUUCAGAGGAAGUGGUAAGAUCCAGUCUCUAUUGAGCAGUAUCUACAUUUUCGAAUUUAGUCCACCUUGAACAUGAAUCAGAUUAUCUGCUUAGUUGAAAGGAAAAUAAAAUCCUAGUUGCUUUUUGUAUACUUGUCUUAUAGCUUUUGUCAUCACAGCUUUCACCACCAUUUCUUCUAUUAUGCUUAUAUUGCUUAUAUUGGUAUCAUAUUAACUCAUUUUGGAUCCUCAUUGACUCAUUGUUGGCCCAGAAAGGUUGAAAUUGGAAUUGCAACAUUGUCGGUUAAAAUGUGGGGGUACUCAGCAAGAGCGUGCUGCCAGGCUUUUUAUGCUUAAAUUCACCCAUGUAGAGAAGAUUCCAAAGAAGUUGCUGGCAAAGAAAUGAGUACGAGAUGUGCUAGGUUAACUCACUGCAAUUAUCAGAAUGUACUCAAAUCUGAAAAGUAUAUUGGAAACCAGUCCAACAAUACCAUAGAAGGGCUGAAGAAAUAAUGAGGAUUGUCUCAUCUCGAUUGGAUUGGAGGGGAAUUUUGUAUUUGCUCCAAAAUACUUUAAGCUGUGGAAUAAUGUUGAUGUUGUAUUACUCAUACUUUUGUAUCUGAAGUGCACUUUUAUAGCUGGAAUAAAGAGAGAAAUUACCAGAA